Molecule: non-coding RNA, 76 nt
Organism: Podarcis lilfordi (Lilford's wall lizard)
Lineage: Eukaryota; Metazoa; Chordata; Lepidosauria; Squamata; Lacertidae
Source: the annotation of a GenBank genome assembly
ACCCCUGGGAUAGCUCGAUCAGUAGAGCAUGAGCCUCUUAAUCUCAGGGUUGUGGGUUCGAGCUCCAUGUUGGGUG